GGUGUUGUAACUCAGUGGUAGAGCACUUGCUUCUCACGCAGGGGGCCCUGGGUUUGAUCCUUAGCACCA
RNAcentral lists this transfer RNA (69 nucleotides) under Urocitellus parryii (Arctic ground squirrel). RNAcentral's name for it is "Spermophilus parryii (Arctic ground squirrel) tRNA". It matches the Rfam family "tRNA". Rfam says of the family: Transfer RNA (tRNA) molecules are approximately 80 nucleotides in length. RNAcentral also lists the same sequence under 2 other names. Lineage: Eukaryota; Metazoa; Chordata; Mammalia; Rodentia; Sciuridae. The record is from Rfam by way of RNAcentral.